AUGCAAGUCGAACGAGGUCCAUGGUGCUUGCACCGGAAGACCUAGUGGCGAACGGGUGAGGAACACGUGAGAAACCUGCCCCGGACUUCGGGAUAACAGUUGGAAACGACUGCUAAUACCGAAUACCGCUGCGGAGUCGCAUGGCUCUGCAACGAAAGAAUUUCGGUCCGGGAGGGUCUCGCGGCCUAUCAGCUAGUUGGUGGGGUAACGGCCUACCAAGGCAUCGACGGGUAGCUGGUCUGAGAGGAUGAUCAGCCACACUGGGACUGAGACACGGCCCAGACUCCUACGGGAGGCAGCAGUGGGGAAUCUUGCGCAAUGGGCGAAAGCCUGACGCAGCAACGCCGCGUGCGGGAAGAAGGCCUUCGGGUUGUAAACCGCUUUCAGCAGGAACGAAAAUGACGGUACCUGCAGAAGAAGGUGCGGCCAACUACGUGCCAGCAGCCGCGGUGACACGUAGGCACCAAGCGUUGUCCGGAUUUAUUGGGCGUAAAGAGCUCGUAGGCGGUUCAGUAAGUCGGGUGUGAAAACUGUGGGCUUAACCCACAGCCUGCACUCGAAACUGCUGUGACUAGAGUUCGGUAGGGGAGCGGGGAAUUCCUGGUGUAGCGGUGAAAUGCGCAGAUAUCAGGAGGAACACCGGAGGCGAAGGCGCCGCUCUGGGCCGACACUGACGCUGAGGAGCGAAAGCGUGGGUAGCAAACAGGAUUAGAUACCCUGGUAGUCCACGCCGU
RNAcentral lists this ribosomal RNA (734 nucleotides) under uncultured Actinomycetes bacterium. RNAcentral's name for it is "bacterial SSU rRNA". It matches the Rfam family "Bacterial small subunit ribosomal RNA", at positions 55 to 803 of the family's 1533-position model. The record is from RNAcentral. Lineage: Bacteria; Bacillati; Actinomycetota; Actinomycetes.